This 292-nucleotide ribosomal RNA is filed under the name uncultured bacterium. RNAcentral's name for it is "partial 16S ribosomal RNA". It matches the Rfam family "Bacterial small subunit ribosomal RNA", at positions 505 to 796 of the family's 1533-position model. The record is from RNAcentral.
GUGUCAGCAGCCGCGGUAAUACGAAGGGGGCUAGCGUUGUUCGGAAUUACUGGGCGUAAAGCGCGCGCAGGCGGUCUUCCAAGUCAGUGGUGAAAGCCUGGAGCUCAACUCCAGAACUGCCAUUGAAACUGUUAGACUUGAGUACGAGAGAGGUGAGUGGAAUUCCCAGUGUAGAGGUGAAAUUCGUAGAUAUUGGGAAGAACACCAGUGGCGAAGGCGGCUCACUGGCUCGUAACUGACGCUCAGGCGCGACAGCGUGGGGAUCAAACAGGAUUAGAUACCCUCGUAGUCC